This 5182-nucleotide long non-coding RNA is filed under the name Sus scrofa (pig). Its description in RNAcentral is "lncRNA (ENSSSCG00000062761.1)". Lineage: Eukaryota; Metazoa; Chordata; Mammalia; Artiodactyla; Suidae. The record is from RNAcentral.
AAAAAAUAUCCCCACAGGGAGUUACUGCUGUGGCAAAGUGGGUUAUGGAUCUCCUGUUGUCUCUGUGGCAAUGUGGAUUUGAUGCCUGGCCUGGAACAGAGGGUUAAGGAUCUUGAGUUGCCACAGCUGUGGUGGAGAUUGAAGCUGAGGCUCGGAUUUGAUCCUUUGCCCCUGGGAACUUUUGUAUCCUGUGGGUGCAGCCAAAAAAACAGAAACAAAAGCAAAGUCCCUCUGAGCACUGCUUUAGUUCUGUCCCACAAAUUUUGAUGUCAUACUUUCAUUUUCAUUCAGUCCAAUCUAUUUUCCAUUUUUCUUGAGAUUUCCUCUUUGAUGCAUCAGUUAUUUAGUUUUGUUUAAUUUACAUGCCUUAAGAGAUUUUCCUAUUGUACCUCUUUUUUAAUUGAUCUCUUAUUUGAUUCUGUUAUGUUUAGAAACAUACUCUGAGUGAUAUCAGUUCCUUAAAAUUUCCUGAGGUUUGUUUUCUAGCCCAUGAUGUAGCCUAUCUUGGUGAAUAUUCCAUGGGUACUUGGGAAAAAAAGGAGGUAUUCUGUUGAUAGUGCUAGAAUGUUCUGUAUAGGUCAAUUAGAACCUCUUAGUUGAUUGUGUUGUGUAGGUCUUUUAAAUCCUUGCUCCUUCUGUUUCUAGUAGUUCUGUCUCAUGCUGAGAAGAGGGUAUUGAGGUACUCAUCUUUAACUAUAAAUUUGUCAUUUUGUCACCCCCCUUUUUGUCUCUAAGUAAUUUUCUUUUCUCUGAAGCCUAAUUUAUCACUAACUAACAUAGCCAUUCCAGCUUAACAUUUUUUUUUAAUGUUUCCAUGGAAUAUCAUUUAGCAUUCUUUUAUUUUCAAACUGCCUAUGUUGAAUUUAAAAUGAGUUUCUUAUAAAUAGCAUAUAGUUGGGUCAUUUCUUAACUCAUUCUUGAGGGACAUGUGAGGGGGUAGCGGAGGGCCUGGCCACUUUUUUGUUAUCAGGGCUCUUGAUCACCCCAGUGGUGUUGGGCUUGCUUGAUGUUGUCAGAGGGACCCCAGUUUAAUCAUGGGGAGGAAAGAGACUCCUCCCUAGGUUGGGGGUUGGAAACAUAGGUCUGGGUUGCCUUCUUCUCUUGGGUGAAUGUCCUGCUGCUGUGUUGUUCCUCCUGUCAGGAUCCCACAUAAGUUCUCUUUCUUCUUACCACUUUUCAGAGUUUUCCUUGGGUUGCCUUUUAUGUUAUUUCCAGGGUUCAUAGUGGGCUCAUUGGGCAGAAGCAGGGAGAAAUGGGUCAAUACCAUAUUGUCUAGACUGAAAAAUAUUGUCUAUUUUGCACAUCAAUUACUAAAUUAUAAAUUCCCUGAAGGCAAGAUCUGCCUUAUACUUCUCAGUGUCUUUCACCAUCCAUAGUAGAUUUCUUAAUCAUAGCUUUUCAAUACAUAUUUGCAGUUUUAAGUGGGAAUGUUUGCAAUUGUGAACUUUUGGUUAUUUCUAGAUGCAAUCACUAUGGGUUUAAAUGUCCAUUUGUAAUUGUUUUUUUGACUGAAUAACAACUUUCUUUUUGAUUAUUAAAUGAAUGCUUCUGUCUCAUUUUGGCAAAACUUAAAGCAUUUUCAUGAUCAUUGGAACAUUGAUCGUCCUACAUUUCUUUCAGGAUUUCUAUUUGUUGGAUAUAGUGACUUCAGUUGGAAGAUUUUUCAGAUUAUUUGUAAUACCUGUAAGCAAAAAUUGUAAUGUUAAAUUGGAAACAUAACUGGAAAAAGGAUCCUGUUAAAUUAACUGCAUUCUUAAAUAGUCGAAAUACUUAUUUCAAAAUCAGCUAUUGGAAGACAGAGGAAAAAUCUAGAGAUUUUGAAAGUUAGACAUAAGAACUUGGUUUUUCAAAACACUGUUUUCAACUAAAAGUAGAUUAGCAUGUGGCGUGGGUUUAACUUCAUUGAAUGCACUUGACUUGAUCUCUGUUGGAGUUGAGUGAGAUACACUGGUUUGCUUUUCUGGCCUUGCCUCACAAAUUAUAACUUGUCACAUAUAAUUACCUUUUCCAUAACAAUUUCAAUAGUUCAUUUGCCUGUCACAUUUCAAUGAACUCUAAACCUUUCUUAAUGUAUUUUUUUAAGUAGGCCAAAGUGCUCCUCCCCCACUCCACCCUGGUAGCUAGUAUAUAAUAAAAUAUGUACUUAUUAUGAUUAGUGCCUCUACUUUUUAGUUACCACAUUUCUUUCAGUAAUACAUUUCCUUUAAAUGAUUUAAGUUUUGUAUCUGCUGAAGUCAUUUUGAAGGUGGCUCUGUUCUAAGCUGAGUAGGAUGAAAAGUCCUUUAGAAAAAAGAGAUGAGGGGUGAGGUUUUUCCUUAAUAAGAAUCCCAGUUACUGAGCUGACCGGAAUGCUCAGAUGAAUGGAUAUGGAAAGAGAAAAUGUAUGAAAUCAUUCAGAACUCAAAUGGAAGUUAAUAUGAAAUAUCUGAAGUGGACGUUUCAUAUUAAGUGUUUUUCUCCUUUUUUCUGCAGCUUUCAUCAUCUCAGCUGUGCAACCUGGCACUCAAUUGUAUUUUGGUUUCUAGUGUUUAUUUCCUCUGGUUACCUGUUAUUUUACUUGACAUUAUAUAUCAGCUGCUUGUAAAUCAGAAUUAAGUCUCAUAAUUUAUCUGCUUUCUCAUCUAUCCCUUCAACUCUUCCUUUUAAAAAAGUUUAUUGAAGUAUAGUUGAUUUACAAUAUUGUGUUAAUUUCUGCUCUAUAGCGAAAUGAUCCAGUUAUACAUACAUUCUUUUUCAUGUUCUUUUCCAUUAUGGUUUAACACAGGAUAUUGAGUGAGUUCCCUGUGCUCUACAGUAGAACCUUGUUGUUAAUCUGUUCUAUAUAUAAUGGUGUCCAUCUGCCAAUCGCAUCCCUUCCUCACCUCCCACCCCCUUGACAACUGCAAGUCUGUUCUCUGAGGCUGUUUCUGUUUUAUAGAUAAGUUCAUUUUUAUAAUAUUUUAGAUUCCACAUAUAAGUGAUAUCAUAUGGUAUUUGUCUUUUUCUUUCUGACCUUCAACUCUUCCUUUUGAGAAGAUCUUACAUUCCACAUUUUCUGGCCAGUUGUAAUUUUAAAUAUUUUACCAUGUUGUUCCACACACCAUCAACAUGUCUCAAGAUUCUAACACUACAGUAUGCAAACCAGGUCCAACAAGCUGGAUCUCAUGAUUGAAGUAAUACUGAAAUUCUUUGGUGAUGUGAACUGUUUUAAUAUAUACAGAAUAGUGUUUUCUACUCUAAUUAUGGAGCUAAUAAUAGAUAAUCAUACUGAUUUGAAGUCAACGGCCAGAUAUAUUUUAGACAUUUUUUGUUUGUUUGUUUUUUUAGAGCUAUACACAUGGAACAUGGAAGUUCCCAAGCUAGGGUUCCAAUUGGAGCUGCAGCUGCUGGCCUACACCACAGCCACGGCAAUGCCGUGGGAUCUGAGCUGUGUCUGUGACCUACACCACAGCUCACAGUGGACCUUUAACCCACUGAACAAGGUCGGAGAUCAAACCCACGUUCUCACGGAUACUAGUCGGAUUUGUUACCACUGAACCAUGACAGGAACUCUUAGAUCAACUUUCGAUUCAGAAAAUACAUCAUAUUCAUAAAAGGAGAUAAUUUUACCCAUAGUAUAUUCAAAUUUAUAUUAUAGUUGUAUAUCUUAAAAAUGAGGUUUUUAAUAUCUGUUGACUUUAAAUGUGGAGGAUGCAUGUUUUUAAAAAGAGAAUAUGAUAAAUUCUUUUUUGUUGGUGUGUCUUUGGAGCAAUUUCUUAUGUAAAUGGAAAUACGUUUUAAUGUUGUUUUCCCUGGGUGAGUAAGUGACAUUCUCACAUGAAACAAUAAGCUAUUAGAACAGAAAGGAAUCAUCAGGACUAUCUAGUUCAGUGAUCUAUAUUUUUAAUUUUCAGUUUUAGUAAUGGAACCAUUUUUCAAACAAAGAAGAGGAUCCUAGUGUGGGAACUAUCCUGGACUUUGGAGUACUUGAAGCAGAUACCAUGCUAGCUCUUCUUAAUUAUGUAUGUUACAAAUCCUUUCAUUUGCUUGGGUUUCUAGGUGUAGACUAAAAAAAAAAAAAAAGAUCUCGACAAAUGUAAUAUAUUUACUUAUAAUAAAAUGGACAGUGAAAAAUCAUAAAAUAUCAAGGCUUAUUCUGUCAAAUUUCAUCAGAGUUUGUGAUACUUACUUUAUUUAAUAUUCAACAAGUAUUUUUAGAGUGCCUACCUAUGUCAAGCACCGAAAUUCUAGGCUCUGAAGACAGAAGGGCAAACAAGUAGUUCCUAUCCUCAAGGAAUUCUUAGAGUCUAGGAUACUUGGCAUCAGAAACAAAUAUUAAAUUAUCUCCUGGAAUUUUUAAUCAUGAAAUUGUGUAGACAGCCCAUAAAGUGUCCUGAAUCAGAUCCCAUGCAUCUUGAGUCUAGCCAGUCAUGACAGGGUAUACAGUUCACAUAAAGCAGAAAUUUGAGAUAUGGAUCUCGACUGGGAGAGCUAGGCCCACUUUUUGGGAAGGAAGAUGAGAGCCUGUGACAAGUGUAUUAGUUUUCUAUUGCUUUCAUAAUGAAUAAUCACAAACUUAGUGGCUCAAAACCACACAAAUAUAUUAUUUUACACUUGUAUAACAAACAGUCUAAACACAGAUCUCUGACCUGUAGUCACAUCUCUCUCUGACUCUCCUCUUCUGCCUUCCUCUUCUGCUUUUAAAAAUCCUUGUGAUUACACUGAUCUCAUCUAAAUAAUCCAAGAUAACCCUGCCCCCUUUUUAAUACUCUUAAUAUUAAUCAUACCUGCAAAGUUUCUUUUUCCAUGCAACAUAAUAUAUUUACAGGUUCCAAUGUUAAUGGCGUGGAUGCGUUUGGGGGGGGCAUUAUUCUGGCUACCACAGAAGUUUACAUAAUCUUAAAGAUACAGGGCCCUGAUAUGGCUGUGAUUCACUAAGAGAAAUUCAGCACCAUGUAGCCUUUCCAUUUAGCCAUUCUAGCUAUAGAGACUGCUAGUCUUAUCACAACAUGGAGUAAAAUGUUAAGUUGGCUGGUGAUACAAUCAUUUCUAUUGUGGGCUCAGUGUUUUUAACCUUGACACCACCACCCCCAUUCAUAUGUUGAAUUCUCGGUCCCCAGUGUAACUAUAUUUGGAUAUCUCCUGUCUGGAGGUAAUUAAUUAAACUAUUUCAUAAGGGUGAGAUGCUGAUCAAUAAGAUUGGCAUCCUUGUAAGAAGAGACAU